Molecule: transfer RNA, 69 nt
Filed under: Ictidomys tridecemlineatus (thirteen-lined ground squirrel)
Lineage: Eukaryota; Metazoa; Chordata; Mammalia; Rodentia; Sciuridae
Description: Spermophilus tridecemlineatus (thirteen-lined ground squirrel) tRNA
Rfam family: tRNA
About the family: Transfer RNA (tRNA) molecules are approximately 80 nucleotides in length. Their secondary structure includes four short double-helical elements and three loops (D, anti-codon, and T loops).
Source: Rfam by way of RNAcentral
GGGGUUGUGGCUCAGUGGUAGAGCACAUGCCUAGUUCGUAUGAGGUGCUGGGUUCAAUCCUCAGCACCA